GAUGAACGCUGGCGGCGUGCCUAAUACAUGCAAGUCGAGCGAACGGACGAGAAGCUUGCUUCUCUGAUGUUAGCGGCGGACGGGUGAGUAACACGUGGAUAACCUACCUAUAAGACUGGGAUAACUUCGGGAAACCGGAGCUAAUACCGGAUAAUAUUUUGAACCGCAUGGUUCAAAAGUGAAAGACGGUCUUGCUGUCACUUAUAGAUGGAUCCGCGCUGCAUUAGCUAGUUGGUAAGGUAACGGCUUACCAAGGCAACGAUGCAUAGCCGACCUGAGAGGGUGAUCAGCCACACUGGAACUGAGACACGGUCCAGACUCCUACGGGAGGCAGCAGUAGGGAAUCUUCCGCAAUGGGCGAAAGCCUGACGGAGCAACGCCGCGUGAGUGAUGAAGGUCUUCGGAUCGUAAAACUCUGUUAUUAGGGAAGAACAUAUGUGUAAGUAACUGUGCACAUCUUGACGGUACCUAAUCAGAAAGCCACGGCUAACUACGUGCCAGCAGCCGCGGUAAUACGUAGGUGGCAAGCGUUAUCCGGAAUUAUUGGGCGUAAAGCGCGCGUAGGCGGUUUUUUAAGUCUGAUGUGAAAGCCCACGGCUCAACCGUGGAGGGUCAUUGGAAACUGGAAAACUUGAGUGCAGAAGAGGAAAGUGGAAUUCCAUGUGUAGCGGUGAAAUGCGCAGAGAUAUGGAGGAACACCAGUGGCGAAGGCGACUUUCUGGUCUGUAACUGACGCUGAUGUGCGAAAGCGUGGGGAUCAAACAGGAUUAGAUACCCUGGUAGUCCACGCCGUAAACGAUGAGUGCUAAGUGUUAGGGGGUUUCCGCCCCUUAGUGCUGCAGCUAACGCAUUAAGCACUCCGCCUGGGGAGUACGACCGCAAGGUUGAAACUCAAAGGAAUUGACGGGGACCCGCACAAGCGGUGGAGCAUGUGGUUUAAUUCGAAGCAACGCGAAGAACCUUACCAAAUCUUGACAUCCUUUGACAACUCUAGAGAUAGAGCCUUCCCCUUCGGGGGACAAAGUGACAGGUGGUGCAUGGUUGUCGUCAGCUCGUGUCGUGAGAUGUUGGGUUAAGUCCCGCAACGAGCGCAACCCUUAAGCUUAGUUGCCAUCAUUAAGUUGGGCACUCUAAGUUGACUGCCGGUGACAAACCGGAGGAAGGUGGGGAUGACGUCAAAUCAUCAUGCCCCUUAUGAUUUGGGCUACACACGUGCUACAAUGGACAAUACAAAGGGCAGCGAAACCGCGAGGUCAAGCAAAUCCCAUAAAGUUGUUCUCAGUUCGGAUUGUAGUCUGCAACUCGACUACAUGAAGCUGGAAUCGCUAGUAAUCGUAGAUCGGCAUGCUACGGUGAAUACGUUCCCGGGUCU
Molecule: ribosomal RNA, 1372 nt
Filed under: uncultured bacterium
Lineage: Bacteria
Description: bacterial SSU rRNA
Rfam family: Bacterial small subunit ribosomal RNA
Source: RNAcentral